This 1264-nucleotide ribosomal RNA is filed under the name Lithobius maqinensis. Its description in RNAcentral is "large subunit ribosomal RNA". The stretch from base 548 to 1264 matches the Rfam family "Archaeal large subunit ribosomal RNA", at positions 1423 to 2870 of the family's 2987-position model. Lineage: Eukaryota; Metazoa; Arthropoda; Chilopoda; Lithobiomorpha; Lithobiidae. The record is from RNAcentral.
UUCUAUAAACGAGAACAAGGACAAAUGUAGUGUGUAAUUUGGUAUUUUUACUUGAAGGAAAAAUUGUAUUUAGGUAGUGUAUAACGAAUAUUAAUUAACAAUAACCGAGAGGGAAUAUAUGAGUUGGAGGGAAGAUGAUAAUUUUACCUUUUGUAUUAGGGAAUAACAAAAUAUUUGCUGUAUAUUUAAAUCUCGAGUGCUGAUGAGCUACUUUUUAUGACUAUUAACGUGUUAAUGUUUUAGAAUAAUUUAGAGUAGAGGUGAUAUGCUUUUCGUAUUGGCGGAUAUCUAGUUAUCUAAUUAUCAUUUUAAUUGACAUUUUUAGACUUAAAGUUUUAUUUAAUUUAAAUUAUGAUUUUGCUAGGGCUAAGCUUUGUAAUUAUAGAUAUUUUAAAUCUAAAUAUCUUAUAGGCUUGGAAGUGGCCAGUAGAUAGUGUGUUAUAACAUGAGUAUUAGGAUUUUUGUGUGUAUUCUUUUUCUAGGAUAAUGGAGAGUAAUAAAUUCUUUAUAAAUAAUGUUAUUAUUAGUAAAAUUAAUUUUUUUAAUUAGGGUGUUUUUAAAGAUCAAAAUAAGGAAUUCAGCAAACAUCAUUUUCAACUGUUUACCAAAAACAUUGUUCUUUGAGUUAAUAUAAAGAAUAAGGUCUGCCCAAUGAUUAUUUUAAUGGCCGCAGUAUCUUGACUGUGCAAAGGUAGCAUAAUCAAUUGUCUUUUAAUUGGAGUCUGGUAUGAAUGAUUUAAUGGGGAUGUACUGUCUUACUUUGAAUCGUUGAAUUUUUAAGGUAGGUGAAGAUACUUAUAUAAUAAUAAAAGACGAGAAGACCCUAUUAAGUUUUACGUUAUGUAAUUAUUUAAUGAAACUUCGUUAUUUAUAUUACGUUUAGUUGGGGCAAUUAUAGAAUAAGAAAAACUUCUUAUAAUGAAAAUAUUUAUUUGUAUAUUGAAAUAUGAUCCAAGGAUUUGAUUAUUAGAAAAAAUUACUUUAGGGAUAACAGCGUAAUGUUUUCUUAGAGUUCUUAUCGAUGAAAAAGUUUGCGACCUCGAUGUUGGAUUAAGAUACCUUUUUAGUGCAGCAGCUAAUUAAGGUAGUCUGUUCGACUAUAAAAUUCUUACAUGAUCUGAGUUCAGACCGGCGUGAGCCAGGUCGGUUUCUAUCUUUAUUAAGAUUAAAUAGAUUUUAGUACGAAAGGAUUAAAUUUAUCAAAAGGUUUGUUCUUAGCAUAUUUAUGUGUUAAAUUUAGAAUUUAAAGAAGGCACUAGUCAGC